UGGGGAAUAUUGCGCAAUGGGCGAAAGCCUGACCCAGCGACGCCGCGUGAGGGAUGAAGGUUUUCGGAUCGUAAACCUCUGUCAGAAGGGAAGAAACCGCACUGUGCUAAUCAGCAGUGCCUUGCCGGUACCUUCAAAGGAAGCACCGCCUAACUCCGUGCCAUCAGCCGCGGUAAUACGGAGGGUGCAAGCGUUAAACGGAAUUCCUGGGCGUAAAGCGCACGUUGGCUGCUUUGUAAGUCCGGGGUGAAAUCCCACGGCUCAACCGUGGAACUGCCUUUGAUACUGGUUAGCUUGAAUCCGGGAGAGGGUGGCGGAAUUCCAGGUGUAGGAGUGAAAUCCGUAGAUAUCUGGAGGAACAUCAGUGGCGAAGGCGGCCACCUGGACCGGUAUUGACGCUGAGGUGCGAAAGCGUGGGGAGCAAGCAGG
Molecule: ribosomal RNA, 429 nt
Filed under: Fusobacteriota bacterium
Lineage: Bacteria; Fusobacteriati; Fusobacteriota
Description: Fusobacteria bacterium partial 16S ribosomal RNA
Rfam family: Bacterial small subunit ribosomal RNA
Source: RNAcentral